GAUGAACGCUGGCGGCGUGCCUAAUACAUGCAAGUCGAGCGAACGGACGAGAAGCUUGCUUCUCUGAUGUUAGCGGCGGACGGGUGAGUAACACGUGGAUAACCUACCUAUAAGACUGGGAUAACUUCGGGAAACCGGAGCUAAUACCGGAUAAUAUUUUGAACCGCAUGGUUCAAAAGUGAAAGACGGUCUUGCUGUCACUUAUAGAUGGAUCCGCGCUGCAUUAGCUAGUUGGUAAGGUAACGGCUUACCAAGGCAACGAUGCAUAGCCGACCUGAGAGGGUGAUCGGCCACACUGGAACUGAGACACGGUCCAGACUCCUACGGGAGGCAGCAGUAGGGAAUCUUCCGCAAUGGGCGAAAGCCUGACGGAGCAACGCCGCGUGAGUGAUGAAGGUCUUCGGAUCGUAAAACUCUGUUAUUAGGGAAGAACAUAUGUGUAAGUAACUGUGCACAUCUUGACGGUACCUAAUCAGAAAGCCACGGCUAACUACGUGCCAGCAGCCGCGGUAAUACGUAGGUGGCAAGCGUUAUCCGGAAUUAUUGGGCGUAAAGCGCGCGUAGGCGGUUUUUUAAGUCUGAUGUGAAAGCCCACGGCUCAACCGUGGAGGGUCAUUGGAAACUGGAAAACUUGAGUGCAGAAGAGGAAAGUGGAAUUCCAUGUGUAGCGGUGAAAUGCGCAGAGAUAUGGAGGAACACCAGUGGCGAAGGCGACUUUCUGGUCUGUAACUGACGCUGAUGUGCGAAAGCGUGGGGAUCAAACAGGAUUAGAUACCCUGGUAGUCCACGCCGUAAACGAUGAGUGCUAAGUGUUAGGGGGUUUCCGCCCCUUAGUGCUGCAGCUAACGCAUUAAGCACUCCGCCUGGGGAGUACGACCGCAAGGUUGAAACUCAAAGGAAUUGACGGGGACCCGCACAAGCGGUGGAGCAUGUGGUUUAAUUCGAAGCAACGCGAAGAACCUUACCAAAUCUUGACAUCCUUUGACAACUCUAGAGAUAGAGCUUUCCCCUUCGGGGGACAAAGUGACAGGUGGUGCAUGGUUGUCGUCAGCUCGUGUCGUGAGAUGUUGGGUUAAGUCCCGCAACGAGCGCAACCCUUAAGCUUAGUUGCCAUCAUCAAGUUGGGCACUCUAAGUUGACUGCCGGUGACAAACCGGAGGAAGGUGGGGAUGACGUCAAAUCAUCAUGCCCCUUAUGAUUUGGGCUACACACGUGCUACAAUGGACAAUACAAAGGGCAGCGAAACCGUGAGGUCAAGCAAAUCCCAUAAAGUUGUUCUCAGUUCGGAUUGUAGUCUGCAACUCGACUACAUGAAGCUGGAAUCGCUAGUAAUCGUAGAUCAGCAUGCUACGGUGAAUACGUUCCCGGGUCU
RNAcentral lists this ribosomal RNA (1372 nucleotides) under uncultured bacterium. RNAcentral's name for it is "bacterial SSU rRNA". It matches the Rfam family "Bacterial small subunit ribosomal RNA", at positions 28 to 1381 of the family's 1533-position model. The record is from RNAcentral.